RNAcentral lists this transfer RNA (77 nucleotides) under Escherichia coli M114. Its description in RNAcentral is "tRNA-Arg". It matches the Rfam family "tRNA". From Rfam's summary of the family: Transfer RNA (tRNA) molecules are approximately 80 nucleotides in length. Their secondary structure includes four short double-helical elements and three loops (D, anti-codon, and T loops). Lineage: Bacteria; Pseudomonadati; Pseudomonadota; Gammaproteobacteria; Enterobacterales; Enterobacteriaceae. The record is from RNAcentral.
GCGUUGUCAGCUCAGCCGGACAGAGCAAUUGCCUUCUGAGCAAUCGGUCACUGGUUCGAAUCCAGUACGACGCGCCA